GGUUGCGAUCAUACCAGCACCAAUGCACUGGAUUCUAUCAGAACUCCGCUGUUAAGGGUGCUUGGGCGAGAGUAGUACUAGGAUGGGUGACCCCCUGGGAAGUCCUCGUGUUGCAACCC
Molecule: ribosomal RNA, 119 nt
Filed under: Helianthus annuus (common sunflower)
Lineage: Eukaryota; Viridiplantae; Streptophyta; Magnoliopsida; Asterales; Asteraceae
Source: RNAcentral